RNAcentral lists this transfer RNA (67 nucleotides) under Marmota monax (woodchuck). RNAcentral's name for it is "tRNA.Ala". Lineage: Eukaryota; Metazoa; Chordata; Mammalia; Rodentia; Sciuridae. The record is from RNAcentral.
GGUUGUGGCUCAGUGGUACAGCACUUGCCUAGCAUGUGUGAGGCACUGGGUUCAAUCCCUGGCACCA